This 796-nucleotide non-coding RNA is filed under the name Afronurus yixingensis. The record is from RNAcentral. Lineage: Eukaryota; Metazoa; Arthropoda; Insecta; Ephemeroptera; Heptageniidae.
UUUUCCAUCCUGACAUUAAAAGUUUUAUUCUAGCUAUGGAAUUUCUUAAUUUAUUGGUUCACAUGUGAGAUUUUUCAAGAAUUCUGGGGUGUCUUAAGGAUCCGGAUUUUGGUUUAUUCGCAGUGUUUUGUAUUAAGUAUCAAAGGAAUUUGGAAUUAGCAAUUUCUGGAGUCCCGGCAAAAUUCGUGCCAGCCGCCGCGGUUACACGAAAGGGGCAAAGAUAUUUUAUUGGUUUGUAAUUAGUUGUAAAUUAUGGUUAAAACAAAAAUUUUGUUAGGUGAAAUUUUAAAGUUUGAGUUAAUCAAUUAAGGUUGAACGAAGUUGUGAAAUUUGGUAGAAAGACUAGGAUUAGAUACCCUAUUAUUCUAAACGUUAAAGGAGGGCCUGAGUAGUAAGAGAUAAGAUCUUGAAACUCAAAGAAUUUGGCGGUGUUUUAGUCCAUUCAGAGGAAUCUGUCCCGUAAUCGAUAUUCCACGUUUACUUAACUUGGGUUAGUAGUCAGCUUGUAUACCGCCGUCAAAAGAGUGAUUCUAGAGAAUACCCUCAAGCUCCUUAAUUAGGGUUUAUGUCAGGUCAAGGUGCAGCUUAUGCCCAAGGGGUGAUGGAUUACAAUAAGGAUACUUAAACGAAAGAUUAUUUGAAAAAGUAGUUGGAAGGUGGAUUUGAGUGUAAUGAGAUUAAAGAAAGUUUUGUGAAAAAGGCUCUAAAACAAGCACACAUCGCCCGUCGCUCUCGUUUGUUAAGGCGAGAUAAGUCGUAACAAAGUAGGUGUACCGGAAGGUGCCCCUAGAAAGUU